GUGCUCACUUUGGCAGCACAUAUACUAAAAUUGGGAUGAUAUUCAGUGAGAUUACAUGGCCCCUGCACAAGGAUGACACACAAAUUUGUAAAGCGUUACAUAUUUUU
Molecule: small nuclear RNA, 107 nt
Filed under: Dasypus novemcinctus (nine-banded armadillo)
Lineage: Eukaryota; Metazoa; Chordata; Mammalia; Cingulata; Dasypodidae
Source: RNAcentral